This is a small nuclear RNA of Callithrix jacchus (white-tufted-ear marmoset), 63 nucleotides long. Its record names the gene U7. It matches the Rfam family "U7 small nuclear RNA". From Rfam's summary of the family: Animal histone pre-mRNAs are spliced by a different mechanism than nuclear pre-mRNAs and self-splicing introns. This processing involves the U7 snRNP, which contains only one RNA species: U7. The 5' end of U7 RNA is thought to base-pair to a conserved spacer element downstream of the cleavage site in histone pre-mRNA. The record is from Ensembl. Lineage: Eukaryota; Metazoa; Chordata; Mammalia; Primates; Cebidae.
UAGUGUUACAGCUCUUUAGGAAUUUAUCUAGCAGGUCUUCUGGUUGUCACUGGAAAUGCCCCC